UUCUUUUUCCUCGUCUUGCACUCUCGGAUCCCUCAAGAUAAAACGCUACUCCGACCCCCAUCAUCCGAUCGAAGAAAACAAAGCUACCACGAUCGCCAUGUCAUCAUCUUCUCUCUCGAUCGACGUCGCUACUAGGUCGAUAGCCCUGCGAAUCCCCACACCCAAGCAACCCGCUUCCGCCCUUCUUCCGAUCGGUUGGUAUACUCCUGCGUUGUUUCUAGGGUUUCGAUCUCGGUUCCUUUUUCCAGGGAGACAAAUCUUGACGCGUGUUUCCGGCGACUGGGACAGAUUAAGCUUGUACAGCCUUGAAGGCCUCCGCUAUAUGCGUGGGAGGAUUUCGAUUGAUUUUGCCACAUUGGUGAGCUUUCCUAAUCCUGAUUCCUUGAACUAUCCACAACGUGAUUUCUUUCUUUUGUGUUAUUGACUAAAUGUUAGAUCAAAUAGAUAUCACGCAUGUGUUUACUCAUUAGAAAGUAUAAUCCUGGAUAUUUGCUGAUUCAGUCUCCUGUGGUGAAUGGUUGUUAUUGAUAGCAGGGAAAUCUUCUCCUCUAACCUGUAUUAAUAGUAAUCAUGUCAAUAAACUUUGAUCAAGCUUUGUAAUCACGUUUCAAUUUAUCAUAGUAUCAUAGCUUGAUCAAGGUUUAAGGUUUAUUGACAUGAUUACUAUUUAUAGAAGAGAAGAUUUCUCUCAACAGAUCAACGAGAUUUUCUCGGGAAAUCUUAUCUGCUAUAAGUUAUAGUUGAUGUUACAUAUGAUGUUGUCGAUUAGCGUAACUGUGUGCUUAAAAAUCUGUAGUACUAUGUAACAAUUGGACUAUACUACUCUCUUAACCACAUUUUUGCUGCAACAUUUAUAGGUAACUACUUGUCCACAUUAAUAUGAGUAAAUAGUAGACACCAUCUUUGCUGUCAUCGUCUUUCAAUUAAUCGGAGUGACUAUUAGCCACAUCUGUUUAUGUCAGUAACUUCCAGUUUUUAGAUUUAGUUUUCUUAAGGCGAAGUGCCAAAGGUAUAACAUGGUUUUGCGAUCAAAUCUUGUAUGCUGUGGAUGACAUAUAGUCGGAUCGUUAUGGAAAUAAUAUAGGUUGAUUUUUUAGUGAGACUAUGGAGAAAUUCAUGGGAAAUUUAGUAUAACAUGUAAGAAUAUUGGGAGACAAAUAAUAUAAGGUUGAUGUCGAAAAUUUUUUAUGCUGUUGCCUACUUCUCUACCCAUCAUUAUGAACAUAUAUGAAAUAAUAUAUCAAUAGAUAACAUAUGCAAGAUACAUCAAGAUGUGUGGAUGAAGUAACAGAUGAUGCUUAAUGAUAUUAUAUGAUUCUUUUACAUAUUGGUAUUUGAGCAGGACCUUCUUGCAUAAGCAAAUUGCAAAAUACUUGAUUAUGAAGAAGAUGCAAUCAUAUGAGAUCAAAAUUUGGAAGAUACGUAAGAUGAAGAAAAUAUGUCAUAAAUCUAAAAUGUUUAAGCUCAGCAAAAAGCAUCUGAGAGGAGGCUAAGUUAUUACUAGUAUGGAUUCUACUGGUGUAGGAUUACUCAUGAAUGGUAUAGGCAGGUGGGAUAUUGAUAUGACUGAUGAGGCAUCGCUACGAGAGGUGCAUUCGAGCACCAAAGGUGGAAAUGAUAUUGGAGAUAACAUAGAUAAACCAUGUGUGGUUUAUAGGUGGUCUUAGCUAAGAAUGGCUGAUGCACAACCUUGCAUAUUCGGCACUUUUUGUUUAUGAAUAUAGUUAGAGCUUUAAGCGCAUUAGUUUGUAUCGGUGAAUCAUCAUAAUUUUGAAAGGACUGUAGGGAUAUUGGACAAACGCAACUAAUAUGCUGACUGAAUUCUAAAAUUUGUAUCUGUUUUUGGCUGAACUAAAUUAUGGAAAUGAGUCGACAGGGUGUGAUGCGUGUGAUGCACCUUUGGGUAUAAAUAGAAUGAUUGAGACCAAAUUUAUAUUGAAUUUGAGACUAAAAUUUACUACUGACUUAAAUAUCAGUUGUAUAUGACAUUCCAUCUCAUUUAUUGGAAUUGUCAUAAAGAAUGGAUGAAGUGAUACUUAACUUCUGCUUGUUCGAGAUUGUAUUGCAUGGGUAUUGCAAUAACAUGACUUUUGCUCUCUUCUACUACUAUCGGUCUUCAAAUGUUUAUGUGUACAAGAAUUAAGAGGAGUUAACAUGGUAUCUCCAGCUAAUAAUCACCUGAACAGGCAGCUCCCAACUAUAUAUAUGUCUAAAUAAAAAAGAUAAUUCUCAAUAGGUGUUGAUAAACAGAAUACAUAAUUAUCUGAGGUUAUUGUACCUAUCCUUUUGGUUGUUGAAUAUAUGUUUAUCUUCCUCUACAAGGUCAUAUGUAUCUUCUUUCCUUUCAGGAUUGCUGAAACAUUAGUAUUCUAAUUGUCUGAUGCAUGAUAUUUAGUACAAACAAGUAAUGGAGCAGGUAUAUCUUUACCAAUAUGGACACGAGAUGCUUGUGGAUGUCCUUAGCUUAGUGGUAUGCCAUCGUCACCAGCUUAUUCUGCAAUAGUUAUAGAUUCUUCAAUGUUAAAUUCAAUUGAAUAUGAUUUCAGCGUUUGAUGCGAUGUUGAGGUUGUUAAUGCACAAUGCACGUCAAAGUGCUGUUGUUCUUAGUACCACCUUGUUGGAGUGAAAGUCUACCCAUGUUUCAGUAAAUGGUGAUGCGCCUUCUUAUCGGCAUGGGCGUUGUAAAUAUGAGGAAGAUGUCAUAAUUCUAGUCAACUAGUGCUUGAUGAAUAGAUAGUUGAAACCGGGCUCACCUGAUGUGAUGUGUCCAUUCAUCCACGGACAGGGAAGACGCUUUUGAGUAAAGGAAAAGGACUCUUAUGAGUCCUGCAAGUUAUAUAUGGGUUGGGCGUGGGGAUGAGCAUUCGGAUACAAAUAUUGACGAGAUAAGUCUAAAAUGUAGAAAGAAUCAUGCGGAUCCCCUGUCGUCUGUGUACGGAAUCACACAACUGGGUCCCGCCGCGAUCCCCAAAUGACAUGCGUCAUUGGAGGAUGUGGCACUCUCC
RNAcentral lists this long non-coding RNA (3005 nucleotides) under Musa acuminata (dwarf banana). RNAcentral describes it as "long non-coding RNA (MACU_LNC000762)". The record is from RNAcentral. Lineage: Eukaryota; Viridiplantae; Streptophyta; Magnoliopsida; Zingiberales; Musaceae.